This 110-nucleotide Y RNA is filed under the name Microcebus murinus (gray mouse lemur). Its description in RNAcentral is "Y RNA (ENSMICG00000043456.1)". It matches the Rfam family "Y RNA". From Rfam's summary of the family: Y RNAs are components of the Ro ribonucleoprotein particle (Ro RNP), in association with Ro60 and La proteins. The Y RNAs and Ro60 and La proteins are well conserved, but the function of the Ro RNP is not known. Lineage: Eukaryota; Metazoa; Chordata; Mammalia; Primates; Cheirogaleidae. The record is from Rfam by way of RNAcentral.
GGCUGGUCCAAAGGUAGCGAGUUAUCUCGCUUGACUGUUCGUAGUCACAGGUCAAACGCCUUGUUCUCCUAUCUUGCCCCCUUCUCACUACUGCAGUUGACUAGUCUUUA